GAAUUUUAUAUAAAUUACUAUAAAUAAAUUAGUAAGUUAUAUUUUAUUGGGAGGAUAAUUAAAUUUGAAUAACUUUAAUAUAAAAAAACUUUGAUUAAUGAAAAGAAAAGGAUGAUUGAUUAAUAAAAAUUAUUAAAGAUUAAAUUACCUUAGGGAUAACAGCAUUAUAUUUUUUUUUAGAUCAUAUAUAAAAAAAUGUUUAU
This 203-nucleotide ribosomal RNA is filed under the name Pachycondyla harpax. RNAcentral's name for it is "partial large subunit ribosomal RNA". The record is from RNAcentral. Lineage: Eukaryota; Metazoa; Arthropoda; Insecta; Hymenoptera; Formicidae.